UACCUUUUUGCUUUAAAAAUUUUGAUGAUGCCUUGAUCACCUUGUGUAGCCAUACACGCGUUCGGCCUCUACGGAUAGUCCAUGCGAAGCUCCAGGAAGAUCCACAACUGCAGGAGUGCUCGCUUGUGCAGAGGUGCUGCAGUGGCUGAACUUUUCUCCCUCAAAGCAUUCAAUUUUUGAUUCUUCUUCGAGAGGAUGAAGGAUGGAGAUGAAGGAGAAGAAAGAAGAGAGAAGGUGGCUGACUCUCAUAAUUUUUUCAGAAUUUAGAACCCUUUCUAAAGAUGAUCUCUUACAAACCCUAGGCGUGGGGGUCUUUUUAUAGCCAAAAGACCCCCCACGCCUCACACCUC
Molecule: long non-coding RNA, 350 nt
Filed under: Phoenix dactylifera (date palm)
Lineage: Eukaryota; Viridiplantae; Streptophyta; Magnoliopsida; Arecales; Arecaceae
Description: long non-coding RNA (PDAC_LNC008251)
Source: RNAcentral